CCUGGUUUCCUUAUCAUGGUACUAAACUAAGGAUAUCUUCUUUCCAACAAAAAAAGAAUUAUCAAAAUCCAGUAGAAAGUUAUGCGGUAUAAAUACAACGUAGGUCGACGAAAAAAGCGUCAAGUAAAAACGCAUUAUUAGAUAUAGCUCGAAAAGUAGCCGUUAGAUCUCAAAUAAAUUUAAAUGGGACCAAUUGGCACAC
Molecule: unclassified non-coding RNA, 202 nt
Filed under: Melitaea cinxia (Glanville fritillary)
Lineage: Eukaryota; Metazoa; Arthropoda; Insecta; Lepidoptera; Nymphalidae
Description: misc RNA ENSMCXG00005010854.1
Source: RNAcentral